GAUGAACGCUAGCGGGAGGCCUAACACAUGCAAGCCGAGCGGUAUUUGUUCUUCGGAACAGAGAGAGCGGCGCACGGGUGCGGAACACGUGUGCAACCUGCCUUUAUCUGGGUGAUAGCCUUUCGAAAGGAAGAUUAAUACCUCAUAAUAUAUUGAGUGUCAUCCCUUGAUAUUGAAAACUCCGGUGGAUAGAGAUGGGCACGCGCAAGAUUAGAUAGUUGGUGAGGUAACGGCUCACCAAGUCAAUGAUCUUUAGGGGGCCUGAGAGGGUGAUCCCCCACACUGGGACUGAGACACGGACCAGACUCCUACGGGAGGCAGCAGUGAGGAAUAUUGGACAAUGGGUUAGCGCCUGAUCCAGCCAUCCCGCGUGAAGGACGACGGCCCUAUGGAUUGUAAACUUCUUUUGUAUAGGGAUAAACCUACUCUCGUGAGAGUAGCUGAAGGUACUAUACGAAUAAGCACCGGCUAACUCCGUG
Molecule: ribosomal RNA, 479 nt
Filed under: uncultured bacterium
Lineage: Bacteria
Description: partial 16S ribosomal RNA
Rfam family: Bacterial small subunit ribosomal RNA
Source: RNAcentral